UGUUUGAUGUUCUAACGUGGACCCGUGAUCCGGGUUGCGGACAGUGUCUGGUGGGUAGUUUGACUGGGGCGGUCUCCUCCUAAAGAGUAACGGAGGAGCACGAAGGUUGGCUAAUCCUGGUCGGACAUCAGGAGGUUAGUGCAAUGGCAUAAGCCAGCUUGACUGCGAGCGUGACGGCGCGAGCAGGUGCGAAAGCAGGUCAUAGUGAUCCGGUGGUUCUGAAUGGAAGGGCCAUCGCUCAACGGAUAAAAGGUACUCCGGGGAUAACAGGCUGAUACCGCCCAAGAGUUCAUAUCGACGGCGGUGUUUGGCACCUCGAUGUCGGCUCAUCACAUCCUGGGGCUGAAGUAGGUCCCAAGGGUAUGGCUGUUCGCCAUUUAAAGUGGUACGCGAGCUGGGUUUAGAACGUCGUGAGACAGUUCGGUCCCUAUCUGCCGUGGGCGCUGGAGAA
RNAcentral lists this ribosomal RNA (451 nucleotides) under Shigella sonnei. Its description in RNAcentral is "partial 23S ribosomal RNA". It matches the Rfam family "Bacterial large subunit ribosomal RNA", at positions 2211 to 2661 of the family's 2925-position model. The record is from RNAcentral. Lineage: Bacteria; Pseudomonadati; Pseudomonadota; Gammaproteobacteria; Enterobacterales; Enterobacteriaceae.